AGUGAACGCUGGCGGUAGGCCUAACACAUGCAAGUCGAACGGCAGCACAGUAAGAGCUUGCUCUUACGGGUGGCGAGUGGCGGACGGGUGAGGAAUACAUCGGAAUCUACUUUUUCGUGGGGGAUAACGUAGGGAAACUUACGCUAAUACCGCAUACGACCUACGGGUGAAAGCAGGGGAUCUUCGGACCUUGCGCGAUUGAAUGAGCCGAUGUCGGAUUAGUUAGUUGGCGGGGUAAAGGCCCACCAAGGCGACGAUCCGUAGCUGGUCUGAGAGGAUGAUCAGCCACACUGGAACUGAGACACGGUCCAGACUCCUUCGGGAGGCAGCAGUGGGGAAUAUUGGACAAUGGGCGCAAGCCUGAUCCAGCCAUACCGCGUGGGUGAAGAAGGCCUUCGGGUUGUAAAGCCCUUUUGUUGGGAAAGAAAAGCAGCAGGUUAAUACCCCGCUGUUCUGACGGUACCCAAAGAAUAAGCACCGGCUAACUUCGUG
RNAcentral lists this ribosomal RNA (492 nucleotides) under uncultured bacterium. RNAcentral's name for it is "partial 16S ribosomal RNA". It matches the Rfam family "Bacterial small subunit ribosomal RNA", at positions 29 to 507 of the family's 1533-position model. The record is from RNAcentral.